RNAcentral lists this long non-coding RNA (501 nucleotides) under Carica papaya (papaya). RNAcentral's name for it is "long non-coding RNA (CPAP_LNC002593)". Lineage: Eukaryota; Viridiplantae; Streptophyta; Magnoliopsida; Brassicales; Caricaceae. The record is from RNAcentral.
UUGAUUUCAACUUGAAAAUAAAAAUAAAUGCAUAGAUAAAAAAAUUAUGUUAUUAUUGCACUCUUUGAAAGUACCACAACGCUACAAUGAAAAGGAACAUGAUGAAAACCCAAAUGCUAAGGCAUCAGAUAUCUAACAUAAAUAAAAUAAAACAAACUGCAAGCAUUGUGUUUGCAACUCUUUUUAAUUUCAUCCUUCCGAGACUUAGUCAAGAAAUGCACUUACUAGAAUCUUAUUUUUCCAUUUCCUUGAAUAUAUAUAUUGGGAAUAUCGUUGAGCACAUUAGGUAUUGUGUUUGGGUCGUUUAAUACAUGAGGCAUCAUGUUUAAUUUGUUCUGAAUUAUAAUCAUCUCAGCUUCGUUAGUAACUUUCUUCUUCAAUUCCUCAAAAGAUGUCUUUAAAUGCUCAAGUUCUGAGAAACGCAUUUCCUGUUUUUGACCCAUCCACCAACACUUACUCUCACAUAUUUUUUGUAUUUCCUUAAGCUCUGCAUUGCGAUUU